Molecule: RNA transcript, 1569 nt
Organism: Dendrobium catenatum
Lineage: Eukaryota; Viridiplantae; Streptophyta; Magnoliopsida; Asparagales; Orchidaceae
Gene name: PGR5-like protein 1B, chloroplastic
Exons: 12
Source: RefSeq, a predicted model, not a curated record
CAAGGGUGAAGUCACUUGCAAGAGAUUGCCAUUUCUCCACUCCCUGCCACACAUCGAGCUUCAGCUUAUCUCUUUCUUCCAAAAACCGCAGCCCAUGUCCCCAAACUCCCAAAGUGCCGCCGCCUAUCGCCUCGGAAAUGGCCUCCGAAGUCUGGCUGCUGCCUUCACUCUCCCCUCGAUUCGUCGCUCGCCCUCUUCUUCCCACUCUCCCCUCACAAAACCUCCACUCCUCUCUCCGGCAGUCUUCUACUUGCCUUCGCUUUCGCUCUCAGCACGGGCAAAGCCGCAAGCUUUUCCUUCUGCGCCCUAGAGCCGCUGAACAGCAAGGUAAGGUCCAGGAAGAUGAAGUGGUUGAUAGCAAAAUUCUGCCGUAUUGCAGCAUAAGCAAGAAAGCGGAGAAGAAGUCAAUAGGGGAGAUGGAGCAAGAGUUUCUGCAAGCACUACAGUCGUUCUAUUAUGAUAAUGAAGCCAUUAUGUCAAAUGAGGAAUUUGAUAAUCUCAAGGAAGAACUGAUGUGGGAGGGAAGCAGCGUAGUCAUGUUGUCCUCGGAUGAACAAAGGUUUCUGGAAGCAUCGAUGGCUUAUGUGUCUGGAAAUCCAAUACUGUCAGAUAAAGAAUUUGAUGCGUUGAAGCUCAGGCUUAAGCAACAAGGCAGCCGCAUUGUACAAGAAGGACCACGUUGUAGUCUCCGAAGCAGAAAGGUCUACAGUGACUUAACUGUUGAUUACUUUAAGAUGUUCCUGCUGAAUGUGCCUGCAGCUGUUAUUGCUCUAACCUUGUUUUUCUUUCUUGAUGAUUUGACUGGCUUUGAGAUUACGUAUCUUUUGGAACUUCCAGAACCAUUCAGUUUCAUUUUCACUUGGUUUGCUGCUUUGCCUCUUAUAUUUUGGUUGGCUCAAGCAAUUACUAAUUUCAUUGUGAAAGACUUUUUGAUCUUAAAGGGCCCCUGCCCAAAUUGUGGAGUUGAAAACGUCUCUUUCUUUGGGACUAUACUUUCAAUCCCUAGUGGCGGUGUUGAAAAUACUGUGAAAUGCUCAAACUGUGGCACUGCAAUGUUGUAUGACUCCAGAUUACGAUUGAUUACUCUUCCAGAGCCAAGUAAAGCAUGAGUGGAUGUCUGCUUGCGAACUCAAGUAUUUCCUAUCAAAAUAUUGGUAAUAUAUUUCUUGAUAUUAUUACGACUACCUCUCAUCCCAUGACCACCCCAGCACCUCACGAGAUUGUGGAUCAUCGGCCUAAGUGCACUGGCAGUUCAAACAAAUGAAGGCUGCAUACCUUCGCUAGCCUCAAGCUAAUUGAAAUAUGCACUGUACAUCAAUCUAUAUCCACUUGAUUGCAUAUACAGUACUAGUUGAAGCAGCUUGUGCGGACAUUACAGAGAUCGAUUGAUUGUCAAACUUAUGUUCUCCCGAAGCUCCUUCACCUUAUGGCCUUGCAUGUUUAUGCACAUGUAAUUAGCUUUUAUAUUAGUUGCUCAAGUAUAAUUGAAACCAUUCAGAUAUAUUAUCUGCUUUUGCAUGUAAUUGUUCAUUAAGUUUUGUUCCUUGUAUAUGAUUUUCUGCUUUGGCU